UACGAAGGGGGCUAGCGUUGCUCGGAAUCACUGGGCGUAAAGCGCACGUAGGCGGCUUUUUAAGUCAGGGGUGAAAUCCUGGAGCUCAACUCCAGAACUGCCCUUGAUACUGGCGGCCUUGAGUCCGGGAGAGGUGAGUGGAACUGCGAGUGUAGAGGUGAAAUUCGUAGAUAUUCGCAAGAACACCAGUGGCGAAGGCGGCUCACUGGCCCGGUACUGACGCUGAGGUGCGAAAGCGUGGGGAGCAAACAGG
This 253-nucleotide ribosomal RNA is filed under the name uncultured bacterium. RNAcentral describes it as "partial 16S ribosomal RNA". It matches the Rfam family "Bacterial small subunit ribosomal RNA", at positions 524 to 776 of the family's 1533-position model. The record is from RNAcentral.